GAUGAACGCCGGCGGCGUGCUUAACACAUGCAAGUCGAGCGAGUGAGUUCUUCGGAACGAUCUAGCGGCGGACGGGUGAGUAACACGUGGGCAACCUGCCUCAUAGAGGGGAAUAGCCUCCCGAAAGGGAGAUUAAUACCGCAUAACAACGUUGAAGGGCAUCCUUCGAUGAUCAAAGGAGCAAUCCGCUAUGAGAUGGGCCCGCGGCGCAUUAGCUAGUUGGUGAGGUAACGGCUCACCAAGGCGACGAUGCGUAGCCGACCUGAGAGGGUGAUCGGCCACAUUGGGACUGAGACACGGCCCAGACUCCUACGGGAGGCAGCAGUGGGGAAUAUUGCACAAUGGGGGAAACCCUGAUGCAGCAACGCCGCGUGAGUGAUGACGGCCUUCGGGUUGUAAAGCUCUGUCUUUGGGGACGAUAAUGACGGUACCCAAGGAGGAAGUCACGGCUAACUACGUGCCAGCAGCCGCCGUAA
Molecule: ribosomal RNA, 476 nt
Filed under: uncultured bacterium
Lineage: Bacteria
Description: partial 16S ribosomal RNA
Rfam family: Bacterial small subunit ribosomal RNA
Source: RNAcentral